Molecule: small nuclear RNA, 156 nt
Organism: Pteronotus mesoamericanus
Lineage: Eukaryota; Metazoa; Chordata; Mammalia; Chiroptera; Mormoopidae
Product: U1 spliceosomal RNA
Exons: 1
Source: RefSeq, a predicted model, not a curated record
AGGCUUGCCUGGCAGGGGAGAUACCAUGACCAGUUUUCCCAGGGCAAGGCUUUCCCACUGCCCUGCGGAUGUGCCGACCCCUGUGGUUUCCCCAAACGUGAGAAACUCAACUGCAUAAUUUGUGUUAGUGGGGAACUGCGUUUGCGCUCUCCCCUG